Salvelinus fontinalis (brook trout) is the source of this 2029-nucleotide long non-coding RNA. RefSeq lists it as uncharacterized. Lineage: Eukaryota; Metazoa; Chordata; Actinopteri; Salmoniformes; Salmonidae. The transcript is spliced from 7 exons. The record is from RefSeq and is a predicted model, not a curated record.
CUAGAUGACUGACGCCCUCUUACCCUCCCUCCCUCUCUCACCCUCGUUUUCUCUCUCUCUCCAAGCUCUUUCCGCUACACCACCAAUACUUUUUUCCCUGGCUGUGGUGUGUUUGUGCUUUAGCGAGUGUACAGCGAAAACAGUUCUGUGCUGAUCCAGCGUGAGCUAUCCCAUGCACAGAGCAGCGUACCUCUUGCCAACAUCCUGCCUCCACUCUGCUGCCUUUUCUGCUUUGAUUUCCCACUGUCUGCUUUUCCACCAGACCUUUUAUUUCUUUAACCCUCUGCUCUCUUCCAAGAAUGAUCUAGGAAGAUGGGAAAGAAAUAAGAGAAAGGUGUCUGUGUGAAGGGGAGAUGUGGAGGCAGAAAAGGAGAGAGAGGGGAGAGGACUAGAGAGAAGACUGGGGUUAGGCUGCAACACGAGAGGCAAAGCAACGAGGAGAGGGAGAAAGAAGAGAGCAACGAGGAUCGAGGGAUGAUCGAGGUGGAAUCGGGCAAAAACGCAGGAAAUGGAGGGAAAAAUUGCCAGACUCAUCCGACCUCUGCUGUGUGGGGACCUGGACCCAUCACCUGACUGCCCUCUCCUGUCUUCCUGGUCCUCAGCAGAACAGCCAUGAGACACACACACCAGCACAGAGCCCACAGACUGCAAAGAGGGGGCUGGGUGGAUUGAUGGAGGGAGAAGACAGAGGCUGAGGUGACUGUGCUGGUGGCGGUGGGGGAGGUAGAGUCGGACAUUUUGGAAAAUUGUAUCCAGUGACAUCCUGCUAAGAUGGAUCCGAAGGCUUCUCUCUUCACCCUUACACAUCCUCCUUUAACCCUACACGACCAUCAUGUCCUGUGUCCCCAUCUCACCCAUCAUCCCCCAGGUGGUGGUAGGCCACAGUGAGCUGCAGGAGAUAUUUGAUCUGUCACUGCUUCCAGGGGGCCGAAUUGUCCCUGUGCAUAGUGGAUGGUCCCUCGCCCUCCUCCGUCUCCCUCUCUCCCCACGGCCUGUCUGACUUCUCUGCUACUGCUGCUCUUCCUCUCUCUGGGGAUUCUGCACUGGUGGUCGAUAAAGGAGAAGAGUGAUGUGGAGCAAGCUGAAGAGGAUCCAGAUUCUAGAUGCCCAGUGCGGGAGAUAUAUCUACUGAAAUAAAAACUGUCCUAUGACGCUCAUCCAUUCCCUUGUCUGUGACGGUGAAGAAUAUCUGGGUUUGGUCAGAGCAAUCGGUCUUUAGCUGGUUUCACCACUAGAGGGCGAUAAGCACAUGUUAAUAUCUAUAACUUCAGUGCUUUAAGGCAGGAGUCAUGAAGAUCGGUUGCCUUACUUUCCUGAUGUAAGACAUUAUUUGUUAUAAUGACAAUGAUUAGGUUACUAUUAUCACCACAUACUGUGGCAUGGUGAGACCAGUGAAUGCUUUAUGGGACAGAUUCAACACAUUUUUAUUUGUUCAAAGACCCUUACUGUUAUGACAGAUUCGAUGUGAUACAUAAUGAGACGUUUGUAAUUAAGAAAGCCUCAACCCUAACCUAGCAUUAACCCUUACCGUAAACCUAGCUUCAUUUCCACAUCUCGGCUCAACCCUAGCCUCAACUCUAACCCAAGCAAAAAAUAUAAAUUGACUUCUUUCUAUGAUUAUAUACGGAUUGUUAACUGAUCGUUAACUGUGACAGACAGAUGGGUUAACUAUUGUAUGAAUUAACCCCUUCAUUGGUUAAACUUGAUGUGGCUCAUGAGUAUUAUUAGUUCACUGUAUUCUGGCUAGGUGGUUGUGAGACUAUUGUGACACUGACCAUACCAUGAUGGAGGGAACAUGAUCUGAGGAGAGGCGGAGCGUUACUGGCGUUAUAAACCCUCAGUGUGUGUCUAAAUAUAUACAGACAUGACUCAUCGUUUAACCCAGCCAUUUAACAGGCGCUGAGGGUGUAUUUUUUUCCAAUGGGUUGUUCAGUUGUCUGGGCAAUGGAUGAUGCAUCAAGGGGCCUCCUAGCUAGAAGUGUAUUCUGGAUUUUAUCAAACCUGGAAUUAAAGUUUCCACUUCAUGAUA